UAUUGCACAAUGGGGGGAACCCUGAUGCAGCGACGCCGCGUGGGUGAAGGAGCGUUUCGGCGCGUAAAGCCCUAUCGGCAGGGAAGAAGGAGGACGGUACCUGACUAAGAAGCCCCGGCUAACUACGUGCCAGCAGCCGCGGUAAUACGUAGGGGGCAAGCGUUAUCCGGAUUUACUGGGUGUAAAGGGGGCGCAGACGGCAGCGCAAGCCAGGAGUGAAAGCCCGGGGCCCAACCGCGGGACUGCAUUGGGAACUACCGGGCUGGAGUGCCGGAGAGGUAGGCGGAAUUCCUAGUGUAGCGGUGAAAUGCGUAGAUAUUAGGAGGAACACCAGUGGCGAAGGCGGCCUACUGGAGGGUGACUGACGCUGAGGCUCGAAAGCGUGGGGAGCAAACAGG
Molecule: ribosomal RNA, 398 nt
Filed under: uncultured bacterium
Lineage: Bacteria
Description: bacterial SSU rRNA
Rfam family: Bacterial small subunit ribosomal RNA
Source: RNAcentral